RNAcentral lists this ribosomal RNA (492 nucleotides) under uncultured bacterium. Its description in RNAcentral is "partial 16S ribosomal RNA". It matches the Rfam family "Bacterial small subunit ribosomal RNA", at positions 29 to 507 of the family's 1533-position model. The record is from RNAcentral.
AGUGAACGCUGGCGGUAGGCCUAACACAUGCAAGUCGAACGGCAGCACAGUAAGAGCUUGCUCUUACGGGUGGCGAGUGGCGGACGGGUGAGGAAUACAUCGGAAUCUACUUUUUCGUGGGGGAUAACGUAGGGAAACUUACGCUAAUACCGCAUACGACCUACGGGUGAAAGCAGGGGAUAUUCGGACCUUGCGCGAUUGAAUGAGCCGAUGUCGGAUUAGCUAGUUGGCGGGGUAAAGUCCCACCAAGGCGACGAUCCGUAGCUGGUCUGAGAGGAUGAUCAGCCACACUGGAGCUGAGACACGGUCCAGACUCCUACGGGAGGCAGCAGUGGGGAAUAUUGGACAAUGGGCGCAAGCCUGAUCAAGCCAUACCGCGUGGGUGAAGAAGGCCUUCGGGUUGUAAAGCCCUUUUGUUGGGAAAGAAAAGCAGCAGGUUAAUACCCCGCUGUUCUGACGGUACCCAAAGAAUAAGCACCGGCUAACUUCGUG